UGAUCCUGGCUCAGGAUGAACGCUAGCGGUAUGCUUAACACAUGCAAGUCGUACGAGAGUUUUUAACUCAAGUGGCGGACGGGUGAGUAACACGUGAGAAUUUACCUUUAGGAGGGGGAUAACAAUUGGAAACGAUUGCUAAUACCCCAUAUGCUUUUUUAAGUGAAAUGGAUUUUUCCGCCUAAAGAAAAGCUCGCGGCUGAUUAGCUAGUUGGUAAGGUAAUGGCUUACCAAGGCGACGAUCAGUAUCUGGUUUGAGAGGACGAUCAGACACACUGGAACUGAGAUACGGUCCAGACUCCUACGGGAGGCAGCAGUGGGGAAUUUUCCGCAAUGGGCGAAAGCCUGACGGAGCAAUACCGCGUGAGGGAAGACAGCCUACUGGGUUGUAAACCUCUUUUUUCAGGGAGGAAAAAAAUGACGUGUACCUGAAGAAUAAGCAUCGGCUAACUCCGUGCCAGCAGCCGCGGUAAGACGGAGGAUGCAAGUGUUAUCCGGAAUUACUGGGCGUAAAGCGUCUGUAGGUUGUUUAAUAAGUCAACUGUUAAAUCUUGAGGCUUAACUUCAAAACAGCAGUCGAAACUAUUAGACUAGAGUAUAGUAGGGGUAAAGGGAAUUUCCAGUGGAGCGGUGAAAUGCGUAGAUAUUGGAAAGAACACCGAUGGCGAAAGCACUUUACUGGGCUAUUACUGACACUCAGAGACGAAAGCUAGGGUAGCAAAUGGGAUUAGAUACCCCAGUAGUCCUAGCUGUAAACAAUGGAUACUAGAUGUUGAACAGAUCGACCUGUGCAGUAUUAAAGCUAACGCGUUAAGUAUCCCGCC
RNAcentral lists this ribosomal RNA (824 nucleotides) under uncultured bacterium. RNAcentral describes it as "bacterial SSU rRNA". It matches the Rfam family "Bacterial small subunit ribosomal RNA", at positions 14 to 873 of the family's 1533-position model. The record is from RNAcentral.